Molecule: ribosomal RNA, 255 nt
Filed under: uncultured bacterium
Lineage: Bacteria
Description: partial 16S ribosomal RNA
Rfam family: Bacterial small subunit ribosomal RNA
Source: RNAcentral
UACAGAGGGUGCAAGCGUUAAUCGGAAUUACUGGGCGUAAAGCGUGCGUAGUCGGUUAUCUAAGUCGGGUGUGAAAUCCCCCGGGCUCAACCUGGGAAUGGCAAUGGAUACUGGCAGGCUAGAGUGCGGUAGAGGGUAGUGGAAUUCCCGGUGUAGCGGUGAAAUGCGUAGAUAUCAGGAGGAAUACCGGUGGUGUAGACGGCUCUCUGGACCGCCACUGACGCUGAGACACGAAAAGCGUGGGUAGCAAACAGG